GGAAGGUGGAACUGCGGGGAGGGACAUUA
Molecule: ribosomal RNA, 29 nt
Filed under: Alternaria solani
Lineage: Eukaryota; Fungi; Ascomycota; Dothideomycetes; Pleosporales; Pleosporaceae
Description: partial 18S ribosomal RNA
Source: RNAcentral